GACGGGGGAUGCAAGUGUUAUCCGGAAUCACUGGGCGUAAAGCGUCUGCAGGUGGUUUCCUAAGUCCACUGUUAAAUCUUGAGGCUCAACCUCAAAAUCGCAGUCGAAACUAUUCGACUAGAGUAUAGUAGGGGUAAAGGGAAUUUCCAGUGGAGCGGUGAAAUGCGUAGAGAUUGGAAAGAACACCGAUGGCGAAGGCACUUUACUGGGCUAUUACUAACACUGAGAGACGAAAGCUAGGGUAGCAAAUGGG
Molecule: ribosomal RNA, 253 nt
Filed under: uncultured bacterium
Lineage: Bacteria
Description: partial 16S ribosomal RNA
Rfam family: Bacterial small subunit ribosomal RNA
Source: RNAcentral